Molecule: ribosomal RNA, 173 nt
Filed under: uncultured Ascomycota
Lineage: Eukaryota; Fungi; Ascomycota
Also listed under: 1 other name
Description: partial 18S ribosomal RNA
Rfam family: Eukaryotic small subunit ribosomal RNA
Source: RNAcentral
UGUACACACCGCCCGUCGCUACUACCGAUUGAAUGGCUCAGUGAGGCGUCCGGACUGGCCCAGAGAGGUGGGCAACUACCACUCAGGGCCGGAAAGCUCUCCAAACUCGGUCAUUUAGAGGAAGUAAAAGUCGUAACAAGGUCUCCGUUGGUGAACCAGCGGAGGGAUCAUUA